ACUUGGACAGGACUUAGUUACUGAACAACAACAACAAUGGUAAGAAUGUGGGCCUGUGAGAACAGUGGAACUUGAGCCACAGAACCAACGCAUCCAGACUUUUGCACCAAGGGACCGUCAAACUUCAGCAGGGCUUCUGGCAACAUGAGGCCAUGUCUGCAGGAUGACCCCUCAGAUGCCAGCUUGAAAAAGCUCAAUGAUGCCAGGACCUGAAGCCAUCCCUUUGAAUGUGGUCCCCAGCAAGGAUGGGGCCACUGUCUCCAAGUCUCUGUUGGGUAUAGAAGUCCAGCUUCCAAUCUUACCAGCUGGCCCACCCCUGCCCAUGUCACUGUGUUGGUGAGCACAGCGGAGCUGGGCUGAGUAUACUGGUCUUCGGGGAUCAUCUUCACAUAUCUAUUGCAUCCUUUUGUGUUUUCCGAGUAUCCAUGUCUUUAUCUAGAACCGUUUCCUGACUGGCGCUGUUGGGACUUGGGGUGGGCUACUCCCAAAUAUAUUACAAUGGAACAUUGCUUGUUUUGAAUUAAAGUUAGUUAAGAAAUGGUCAAGGCAA
Odocoileus virginianus texanus is the source of this 550-nucleotide non-coding RNA. The record is from RefSeq and is a predicted model, not a curated record. Lineage: Eukaryota; Metazoa; Chordata; Mammalia; Artiodactyla; Cervidae.